CACGAAGAUCUGUACGUUUCACAAGAGUCUGUGUAAAAGUAACAAAAUCUUGACACUUGAACUUCGUAAAACGUGGCGUGGUCGUGGUUUAAUCGAAGAAGUACCUCGACAGGGAUCUUAAAUGAUUCGCGAGCAGCUAUCGGUCCCGAAACUUGACGAUUCGACGACUCACGGGUCCUCCGUCUAUCGGGAUCGUCCGAUUAUUUAUACUAUAAGCAAAAUACCCACGAGCUCCCGGGCACACUCGUAAUUCGAACGAGGGAUCACCGCUGGCCUGUCAAAAAACGAAAUACCAUCCGGUCCGCUUCGAGCCUCCACGUCCACUCGAGUGUGGUAUAUUAUGAAUGAACCAACGGGUGCAGAGAGAAGAGAGAGAGUGACUCGAGUCUCUCGAGCCUCUCCAGGCUCAAUGGAACCGAGAGAAAAAUCCGUGUGGUCAUUUUUCGAAUGCACAAUGAGCAGUCGCCUCUCGCCUCUCGGGUUCCUGCGCUCUCCGUCCGCCCUGAUCGAAUCUGCGUGUUGCUGCGUCACAACAGUGACACACACUGCCUCGGUAUUCCUGGGAGGGGAGAACCGAGAAACGUGAAGACGCCUGGUGAACGGAAAGGUGAAAGAGAAAGAACUUGGACGCGGCUCACAAUGAGCAUCGCCGAUGACUUAGCGUCGAGGAAGGAGGCCCCCGUUAGGGCUAUUUAUGCGAUCUCAUUCCGAGACGAGGUGACACGGCCACGUCGCCGUAAACAAUGCCGUUUCACGAGGGAAGAAUGUCCACUGAUUCGAUUAACGGCGAUGAUUGGUUGGUAUCUUGCCUUUGGUCCUCGAGACUCUUUGGAAUUCUUUCUUUCGAGAAAGAGGAGAGGCUUCUGGGAACCGUGCCUAGGAACGUUCCAGUGAUGGAACUGGAAGUGAAGCGUCGAGCCAGGUAGCUAGUUAUCGUAAAUUUGUGGAAAUGGCGGAAAGGCACGUAGGAGACACUCGAUACCCCUUGCCUCGAUCACGAAGCUUCUCGAUCGAUCAUGCGAAAGCGUGAUCCAGACGGCGUUGGGUGAAUCGUUGGAUCCAUCGGUCAAGUCGUUGACAUUUUGACGAGGCGCAAGGAACGUCUGGCGUCACGUAAAAAAGCCGUUCGUCUUCGGGAAGGCAUCCACCCACCGUCGACAGGUCUGACGCCUUCCGAGGGCCUGAUGUGAGGUCUCCGGGACGCGGACCACACGCGCACAUACACACGCGCGAGGGUUUGAAGGGUCUUCAGCCGUCAGAAGCCGUUUCGAAACUUAACGGACGUUAAUUACGACUCGGUCAAUUUCUGUAAUUGGGCUCGCUCACUGGCUGCGAUUUAUUCCUACUCGACUUUCGUGCAGAUGUUGGCCAAUCCGCGACGAUUAUCGAUGGAGUCUCGAUACCGGCUAUUGAAAAACUCCGGUUUCUGUUUUUUCUUUAUAUCCACAGGACCGCUGUAUCUCCGUGUAAUGAACAAUUUCACGGCCUGCCUUGGUCGUUAGGGGAGCCCUGUUAGGUGUUAACGACCAGCGGAAACGAUUCUUGGUCACGAUCCCGCCCACCGAUUUUAGCGGAACAGGAAAGUGUCGUCGGAUAGGUGACCGUCCUUCAGGAAGUAAAUGAUCGAGAAACCAAGCUCCGUUUGUGUAAACACGACGGUUUGUCGGAGAACCAUGUUCGUUUAAAUACAGUAGCCGUGAUUUACAAAGGAGUCGAUGUCAUACCUUCAGAUUCACUCUAAAUUGCAAUGCUCGUUUUUUAUAAAAUUUCUUGUAGGAGCCCCGAUACAUUCAAUC
This is a long non-coding RNA of Hylaeus volcanicus, 1796 nucleotides long. RefSeq lists it as uncharacterized. NCBI's taxonomy places the organism in Eukaryota, Metazoa, Arthropoda, Insecta, Hymenoptera, Colletidae. The record is from RefSeq and is a predicted model, not a curated record. The transcript is spliced from 3 exons.